RNAcentral lists this ribosomal RNA (1439 nucleotides) under uncultured organism. Its description in RNAcentral is "16S ribosomal RNA". It matches the Rfam family "Bacterial small subunit ribosomal RNA". The record is from RNAcentral.
GAUGAACGCUAGCUACAGGCUUAACACAUGCAAGUCGAGGGGCAGCAUUUUAGUUUGCUUGCAAACUGAAGAUGGCGACCGGCGCACGGGUGAGUAACACGUAUCCAACCUGCCGAUAACUCCGGGAUAGCCUUUCGAAAGAAAGAUUAAUACCGGAUAGCAUACGAAUAUCGCAUGAUAUUUUUAUUAAAGAAUUUCGGUUAUCGAUGGGGAUGCGUUCCAUUAGUUUGUUGGCGGGGUAACGGCCCACCAAGACUACGAUGGAUAGGGGUUCUGAGAGGAAGGUCCCCCACAUUGGAACUGAGACACGGUCCAAACUCCUACGGGAGGCAGCAGUGAGGAAUAUUGGUCAAUGGGCGCGAGCCUGAACCAGCCAAGUAGCGUGAAGGAUGAAGGCUCUAUGGGUCGUAAACUUCUUUUAUAUGGGAAUAAAGUUUUCCACGUGUGGAAUUUUGUAUGUACCAUAUGAAUAAGGAUCGGCUAACUCCGUGCCAGCAGCCGCGGUAAUACGGAGGAUCCGAGCGUUAUCCGGAUUUAUUGGGUUUAAAGGGAGCGUAGGUGGAUUGUUAAGUCAGUUGUGAAAGUUUGCGGCUCAACCGUAAAAUUGCAGUUGAAACUGGCAGUCUUGAGUACAGUAGAGGUGGGCGGAAUUCGUGGUGUAGCGGUGAAAUGCUUAGAUAUCACGAAGAACUCCGAUUGCGAAGGCAGCUCACUAGACUGUCACUGACACUGAUGCUCGAAAGUGUGGGUAUCAAACAGGAUUAGAUACCCUGGUAGUCCACACAGUAAACGAUGAAUACUCGCUGUUUGCGAUAUACAGUAAGCGGCCAAGCGAAAGCAUUAAGUAUUCCACCUGGGGAGUACGCCGGCAACGGUGAAACUCAAAGGAAUUGACGGGGGCCCGCACAAGCGGAGGAACAUGUGGUUUAAUUCGAUGAUACGCGAGGAACCUUACCCGGGCUUAAAUUGCAACAGAAUAUAUUGGAAACAGUAUAGCCGUAAGGCUGUUGUGAAGGUGCUGCAUGGUUGUCGUCAGCUCGUGCCGUGAGGUGUCGGCUUAAGUGCCAUAACGAGCGCAACCCUUAUCUUUAGUUACUAACAGGUCAUGCUGAGGACUCUAGAGAGACUGCCGUCGUAAGAUGUGAGGAAGGUGGGGAUGACGUCAAAUCAGCACGGCCCUUACGUCCGGGGCUACACACGUGUUACAAUGGGGGGUACAGAAGGCGGCUACCUGGUGACAGGAUGCUAAUCCCAAAAACCUCUCUCAGUUCGGAUCGAAGUCUGCAACCCGACUUCGUGAAGCUGGAUUCGCUAGUAAUCGCGCAUCAGCCAUGGCGCGGUGAAUACGUUCCCGGGCCUUGUACACACCGCCCGUCAAGCCAUGAAAGCCGGGGGUACCUGAAGUACGUAACCGCAAGGAGCGUCCUAGGGUAAAACUG